This 468-nucleotide ribosomal RNA is filed under the name uncultured bacterium. RNAcentral describes it as "partial 16S ribosomal RNA". It matches the Rfam family "Bacterial small subunit ribosomal RNA", at positions 28 to 507 of the family's 1533-position model. The record is from RNAcentral.
GACGAACGCUGGCGGCGUGCUUAACACAUGCAAGUCGAACGGAAAGGCCCUGCUUUUGUGGGGUGCUCGAGUGGCGAACGGGUGAGUAACACGUGAGUAACCUGCCCCUGACUUUGGGAUAACUUCAGGAAACUGGGGCUAAUACCGGAUAGGAGCUCCUGCUGCAUGGUGGGGGUUGGAAAGUUUCGGCGGUUGGGGAUGGACUCGCGGCUUAUCAGCUUGUUGGUGGGGUAGUGGCUUACCAAGGCUUUGACGGGUAGCCGGCCUGAGAGGGUGACCGGCCACAUUGGGACUGAGAUACGGCCCAGACUCCUACGGGAGGCAGCAGUGGGGAAUAUUGCACAAUGGGCGGAAGCCUGAUGCAGCAACGCCGCGUGCGGGAUGACGGCCUUCGGGUUGUAAACCGCUUUCGCCUGUGACGAAGCGUGAGUGACGGUAAUGGGUAAAGAAGCACCGGCUAACUACGCG